RNAcentral lists this transfer RNA (66 nucleotides) under Marmota monax (woodchuck). RNAcentral describes it as "tRNA.Ala". The record is from RNAcentral. Lineage: Eukaryota; Metazoa; Chordata; Mammalia; Rodentia; Sciuridae.
GGUUGUGACUCAGCGGUAGAGCACUUGCCUAGCACGUGGAAGUCCUGGGUUCAAUCCUCAGCACCA